Paramuricea clavata is the source of this 76-nucleotide non-coding RNA. NCBI's taxonomy places the organism in Eukaryota, Metazoa, Cnidaria, Anthozoa, Malacalcyonacea, Plexauridae. The record is from the annotation of a GenBank genome assembly.
GUCUCAUUAGCUCAGAGGUUAGAGCACCGCAGGUCUAGUAAACCAGAGGUCAGGAGUUGCAAUCUCUGACGAGGCU